RNAcentral lists this ribosomal RNA (598 nucleotides) under uncultured bacterium. Its description in RNAcentral is "bacterial SSU rRNA". It matches the Rfam family "Bacterial small subunit ribosomal RNA", at positions 338 to 956 of the family's 1533-position model. The record is from RNAcentral.
CCUACGGGAGGCAGCAGUAAGGAAUCUUCCACAAUGGACGAAAGUCUGAUGGAGCAACGCCGCGUGCAGGAUGAAGGCUUUCGGGUCGUAAACUGCUUUUAUAUGGGAAGAUUAUGACGGUACCAUAUGAAUAAGGACCGGCUAACUACGUGCCAGCAGCCGCGGUAAUACGUAGGGUCCAAGCGAUAUCCGGAAUUACUGGGCGUAAAGCGUGUGUAGGUGGAUUAAUAAGUGUGAUGCGAAAUCCGGCGGCUCAACCGUUUGGACUGUGUCGCAUACUGUUAGUCUAGAGGACGGCAGAGGUAAGUGGAAUUACGGGUGUAGCAGUGAAAUGCGUAGAUAUCCGUAGGAACACCAAUGGCGAAGGCAGCUUACUGGGCCACACCUGACACUGAGACACGAAAGCGUGGGGAGCGAACAGGAUUAGAUACCCUGGUAGUCCACGCCGUAAACGAUGCAUACUAUUAGUAUGGGGUAUCGACCCCCUGUGCUGAGAAGCUAACGCGAUAAGUAUGCCGCCUGGGGAGGACGAGCGCGAGACGUUAAACUUAAAGUAAGUAGUAGACGNGNGAGAGCGACGACGACGACGAGGAGGAGG